This 88-nucleotide transfer RNA is filed under the name Caudoviricetes sp. Its description in RNAcentral is "tRNA-Ser". It matches the Rfam family "tRNA". From Rfam's summary of the family: Transfer RNA (tRNA) molecules are approximately 80 nucleotides in length. Their secondary structure includes four short double-helical elements and three loops (D, anti-codon, and T loops). The record is from RNAcentral. Lineage: Duplodnaviria; Heunggongvirae; Uroviricota; Caudoviricetes.
GGAGUGAUGCUCGAGUGGUUGAAGAGGCACGCCUGGAAAGCGUGUAUACCCCUAAAGGGUAUCGCGAGUUCGAAUCUCGCUCGCUCCG